This is a long non-coding RNA of Puntigrus tetrazona (Sumatra barb), 282 nucleotides long. RefSeq lists it as uncharacterized. Lineage: Eukaryota; Metazoa; Chordata; Actinopteri; Cypriniformes; Cyprinidae. The record is from RefSeq and is a predicted model, not a curated record. The transcript is spliced from 4 exons.
AGAGAGAGCUUGCAUGCUAAUAUGCAAAUUUAUUCAGUAUUUGGAGCACAUAUUUACAUUCUUCACUGAAUGUGAUGUCUUUCUAUGUAACAGAUUUGCACAGAAAACAGCUGUGAAGAUCAGAUGCAAAAUCUAACAUUUAAGAGAGACAACUAAAACAGAUUGCAUUACAAUGGAAUUGCUGUAUCUGAUGCUGAUAUUUAUCAUCAGUGACAUGAGAAAAGCUGUAAAAGGCCAGCGCUGUGGGGUUUCUUCACUCAGUGCUGGUGUUGUAGGAGGUGA